AUGGCGGCAAUAGGUUUCAGAUCCAUCAUCGACGACGCAGUGGGCAUAGAGCAUGAAGCACAGAUGGCUGGCAUGGCAGGGGGCACCCACGGUGAGGGGGGAGAUUCAUGUGGCAAUAGCAUAUUCCAUUCAUCGUCGCCAGUGCUGGUGGCGGCAGAUGUCCCCCGCGGGGUGGUGGUCGAGCCACCAAAUGCAAAUUGGGAAAGGAAACACCCCGGCCCUGCCUUACCUCGCGCACGCGCCGCCGCCCCUCUGCUUCACCGCACCGCCGGCUCCUGCCCGACCGUGCCGCCGCCCCCUGUGCCCGACCGCGCCGCCGCUCCCUCUGCUCAUUGGCGCGGCCGCCCUCCCCCACUGCUGCCAUGGCCGUCCAUGCUCCUCCAGUCCUCCCCUUCUUUUUCUCUUCCCCGACCCCACCCCAUCGCCGGCAAACAGGACAGCGCGCAUCCACCAGCUGAAUGGCCACCGUGUGCCUGGAAGCUGCCCACCUCCCCGACGGUGGAGUCGCUCCUCCACGACGAGGGUCUGGAUGGAGGGGUCGUCCCCAUCCCUUCGUCCAAGGGUGAGCGGGCCUCGCCGUGCCUGAGGACGGCCACCAACCACCGCGUCCACAACCUCCCAGAGCAGCCACACAUGUGCCUCCUCGCUGCUCAGUCCCUGGCCACGCACGCUCUGGCCGCAGCGUCCAGGCCGUUCACAGUUGCCACCCUAGUCCGUUCACCACCGCCAACCGAGGCCGAUCGACAAUGCAGCGAUGAGUGCCUGUGGAGCUUACUUUUCAGCCCAGGUCGUGGCUUUGCUGCGGCACACCUCGCACUGCUUCUCCUUGCUGGACUAGUCGACUUACAAGAGAUCAACUCAAAUAAAAAUUACCCAAGGAUCCAGCGUGCCCUACCGCGCGUUCUCCAUCGAACGGUCAGACUUCUUGUCCUCCGGUCCUCCCUCUCCACCACUCUAGGAUCUGCAUCGCCGUCCCAGUCCAACACCAUGGCGCCGGGGUGGUGGUUCGGCACAUGGCCUGUUCCAACGAUCUCUAAUGGUGGUCAUGGCGUGGUGUUGGAGGCCCCGUAUGCAAACAGGGACAAGUUGUGGGAUGGCAUACAAGUGGGGAUGGCAACAAAGCUUGAGAGAUUUUAUGUUGCCAUAUCGGGCUUCACAGUCAAUAGCACCAUGCUCUGGGAUCCCAAACUGAGGUCCCAUCAGGUCUGGAACACGACCCGGCACCCGGAAAAUGGUGUAACAGGGCUUCCAAGUGAGCUCCUUGCUUCUUGCUUCUCUUUAAAUCUCUUGAGCUUCACAUGCCAUCUAGCAACAUGGUGGUCAAACAACAUCCCGCCAGCCACCCUCCACCCUGCGCCACCCGCCGGCCUCCCUCCACCCCGUGCGGGCUCACCCCGGCGGCCGCUACUCGUCCAUGAAUGGGGUGCCUCGGAUCCCAUCGUCGGCGUCCCGUCGACGGUGGCCAUGAGCGAGAGCACCUGUAUUUGGCGGGAGCGGCUCCAUAUCCCUGCUUCCCCUCCUCACCUCCACUUCGUUGUGGUUCGUUGUUGA
Molecule: ribosomal RNA, 1551 nt
Filed under: Triticum aestivum (bread wheat)
Lineage: Eukaryota; Viridiplantae; Streptophyta; Magnoliopsida; Poales; Poaceae
Description: partial small subunit ribosomal RNA
Source: RNAcentral